RNAcentral lists this transfer RNA (66 nucleotides) under Ochotona princeps (American pika). RNAcentral describes it as "tRNA-Thr". Lineage: Eukaryota; Metazoa; Chordata; Mammalia; Lagomorpha; Ochotonidae. The record is from RNAcentral.
UCCUCGUAGUAUAACAAUUACCCUGGUCUUGUAAACCAAAAAUGAAGUACAACCCUUCCUAGGACA